UAUUCUGCCCCACGGGGAAGGAUGAGAAGGUUCGACUCGAGCGAAGCGAGAGAACGUUGCCGCUGGCAAUGGCCCGAAGGCGAGGCGCUUUAGCGCCGAGUAAUUCUUCCCCCACCACUG
RNAcentral lists this small RNA (120 nucleotides) under Klebsiella pneumoniae. Its description in RNAcentral is "RtT sRNA". It matches the Rfam family "RtT RNA". Rfam says of the family: This family represents a bacterial cis-regulatory element known as RtT RNA. The exact function of RtT is unknown although it is thought that it may be involved in changing the cellular response in relation to amino acid starvation. Lineage: Bacteria; Pseudomonadati; Pseudomonadota; Gammaproteobacteria; Enterobacterales; Enterobacteriaceae. The record is from RNAcentral.